CCUGACACAGGGAGGUAGUGACAAUAAAUAACAAUGCCGGGCCUAUACAGGUCUGGCAAUUGGAAUGAGAACAAUUUAAAUCCCUUAUCGAGUAUCAAUUGGAGGGCAAGUCUGGUGCCAGCAGCCGCGGUAAUUCCAGCUCCAAUAGCGUAUAUUAAAGUUGUUGCAGUUAAAAAGCUCGUAGUUGGAUUUCUGGCAGGAGCGACCGGUCACACACUCUGUGUGUGAACUUGUGUUGUCUCUGGCCAUCCUUGGGAAGAUCCUGUUUGGCAUUAAGUUGUCGGGCAGGGGAUACCCAUCGUUUACUGUGAAAAAUUAGAGUGUUUAAAGCAGGCUUAUGCCGUUGAAUAUAUUAGCAUGGAAUAAUAAGAUAGGACCUUGGUACUAUUUUGUUGGUUUGCGCACCAAGGUAAUGAUUAAUAGGGACAGUUGGGGGUAUUCGUAUUCCGUUGUCAGAGGUGAAAUUCUUGGAUUUACGGAAGACGAACUACUGCGAAAGCAUUUACCAAGGAUG
Molecule: ribosomal RNA, 514 nt
Filed under: uncultured diatom
Lineage: Eukaryota; Bacillariophyta
Description: SSU rRNA
Rfam family: Eukaryotic small subunit ribosomal RNA
Source: RNAcentral